This 411-nucleotide ribosomal RNA is filed under the name uncultured Lactobacillus sp. RNAcentral's name for it is "bacterial SSU rRNA". It matches the Rfam family "Bacterial small subunit ribosomal RNA", at positions 131 to 524 of the family's 1533-position model. Lineage: Bacteria; Bacillati; Bacillota; Bacilli; Lactobacillales; Lactobacillaceae. The record is from RNAcentral.
AAAGAGAUCGGGAUAACACCUGGGAAACAGAUGCUAAUACCGGAUAACAACAGAUGAUGCCUAUCAACUGUUUAAAAGAUGGUUCUGCUAUCACUCUUGGGAUGGACCUGCGGUGCAUUAGCUAGUUGGUAGGGUAACGGGCCUACCAAGGCGAUGAUGCAUAGCCGAGUUGAGAGACUGAUCGGCCACAUUGGGACUGAGACACGGCCCAAAACUCCUACGGGAGGCAGCAGUAGGGAAUCUUCCACAAUGGACGCAAGUCUGAUGGAGCAACGCCGCGUGAGUGAAGAAGGGUUUCGGGCUCGUAAAGCUCUGUUGUUAGUGAAGAAGGACAGGGGUAGUAACUGACCUUUGUUUGACGGUAAUCAAUUAGAAAGUCACGGCUAACUACGUGCCAGCAGCCGCGGUAAU